This 450-nucleotide ribosomal RNA is filed under the name uncultured bacterium. RNAcentral describes it as "bacterial SSU rRNA". It matches the Rfam family "Bacterial small subunit ribosomal RNA", at positions 354 to 796 of the family's 1533-position model. The record is from RNAcentral.
GUGGGGAAUAUUGGACAAUGGGCGAAAGCCUGAUCCAGCCAUGCCGCGUGUGUGAAGAAGGUCUUCGGAUUGUAAAGCACUUUAAGUUGGGAGGAAGGGCAGUAAGUUAAUACCUUGCUGUUUUGACGUUACCGACAGAAUAAGCUCCGGCUAACUCCGUGCCAGCAGCCGCGGUAAUACGGAGGGAGCUAGCGUUGUUCGGAAUUACUGGGCGUAAAGCGCGCGUAGGUGGUUUUGUAAGUUGGAGGUGAAAUCCCCGGGCUCAACCUGGGAACUGCCUCCAAAACUGCAUGACUAGAGUACGGUAGAGGGUAGUGGAAUUUCCUGUGUAGCGGUGAAAUGCGUAGAUAUAGGAAGGAACACCAGUGGCGAAGGCGACUACCUGGACUGAUACUGACACUGAGGUGCGAAAGCGUGGGGAGCAAACAGGAUUAGAUACCCCAGUAGUCC